Long non-coding RNA from Ictalurus punctatus (channel catfish), 1471 nucleotides. The record is from Ensembl. Lineage: Eukaryota; Metazoa; Chordata; Actinopteri; Siluriformes; Ictaluridae.
GAAAAGGGAGGGAGAGAGGAACAAGUGAGGAAGAGAGAAAAGAGGGAGAGAGAGAAAGGGAAGAGCUUAGAGCUGUACUGAGAGGGAAAGAAGAGACACGCCAAACAGGAAGUGAAAUAAGGGAAAAGAAGACUUUGGUAGGAUGUAAAGGAAUUAUAUGCCAGGAGUGCUAACCGGAAUCCUCUUUUUUUUUCUAGAAGAAAUGAUAUAAAGAGCAAACAGAAUAACUGAAACAGGAGAGAAAUUUUUGCCUGGAACUGCCGUCAUUCUCCUGCUCCUCUGUACCUCCCUCGGACGUUGAACCCUGUUGAACCCCUAAUGCUUGGAUACAUCUAUCAUAUCCAUGUGCUCCUGAAAGUUUCUGAAUCAACAGACGAAAAGAAAUGCGAAAGAACCAGGAAGAAGCAUGAACUCUUUUUUGAAUCUUCAAACUUGGACCAUUCGUAAGGUAUGAAGUCUCUAAGGGGUUUGUACCUGUAGCGUGCUGAGGGAUGUAUGCAGUUUUGCUUGACAAAGUGAGAUUCACUUCAAGUUACUUAUAAUGAAAGAUUCAUGCAGACAGGCAUACUGGAAGACAACCCCAUGCUGUCCGAUGCCUCGUAACACCGGCAAGCACAUAAAGAAGACAAGAUUUUAGCAUCUCUGCAAGACCAAACUGACGACUCCACAAGGUUUGGCUAAAUCCUGAGAACAAUCUCUUUCCCUAAUCUUAUGACAGACUACAAGUUUUAGGAACCUCUCAGAAGCCUGCUGUGUGGGAAAGCCUUUCCACUGCGCACUCAGAAAGAAAGAGAAGACCUCAGAGGCAUAGUGAACAACAAUAAUAAUAAUAAGAAGAAGAAAACGAAGAAGAAGAAGAAUUAAAGAACCAGGAGAAAGGGACAGACAGCCAGAGCUGGCUGUGGCAAGAACAAGGGAGCAGGGGGAAAGGGUGAAGAAGAGAUGGGACUUCAUGGGCUUUUGUGAAAGCUUGAAAGAAUGGAAGCAGCUCCAAAAUAAAAAGCAGAACAGGGAGUCCCUGCAAUCCCCCUGGUACAAUGCGUGCAGGUGUGGUGCCCCCUGGAGGUGGAUAUCACUGAUGAUAAACAUGCUCCCCCAUGGCCUUGCUCACGCGUGCCAGGCCAUCGAGGAGGAGCAGGACAACGACAGAGAGGAGAGGAUCUUGGCUAUCCUGGGAAUAGUUGGCACCAUUCUCAACCUGCUGGUGGUCAUCUUUGUCUACAUCUACACCACCAUCUGAAAACUGGAGUGGGAGAAGAGCCAUCCAAAGAUCUGAGAGGGAAAAGACUGGAAAGAUUUGGAUUAGUAUAUACACUCAGUGAGGACAGGAGAAGAUGAGAAGAAUGGACUAAUGGACUACUUCAUUUUCCAAAAUAUAAAUAUCAUUCACAAUCAUCAUUCAUGCAAAGUAAAUCUGAAUAGUGUCCACCAUUUUCACCAUUAAUUUAAAAAACUCCAUGUUUGAACUAUU